This 262-nucleotide long non-coding RNA is filed under the name Mus spicilegus (steppe mouse). RNAcentral describes it as "lncRNA (ENSMSIG00000014447.1)". Lineage: Eukaryota; Metazoa; Chordata; Mammalia; Rodentia; Muridae. The record is from RNAcentral.
UACAGCCGAAGAGCUCGGGAGUUCUAAUUACCUGUGCAGAUCCCAGGAGGCGGAAGCAAAACGUGGUAAUUAGUGGGCUGUAAUCUGAGGUUUUAGCAAGGGAGGCAGGAUUUGCUCUAAGUGCCUUGGUGUUUUCGUGGCUAUUUACUGAGCGGAGCCCCAGAGUUUAAAGGAAUUUGGUGGAAUUCUCCAGUGACUACGGGGCUGGCGAUUUUAAAUAGCUAUAAAUGAGGCAUUUUUAUUCCACUCCUGCCAAAUCCAG